Molecule: transfer RNA, 72 nt
Filed under: Phytophthora infestans T30-4
Lineage: Eukaryota; Oomycota; Peronosporomycetes; Peronosporales; Peronosporaceae
Rfam family: tRNA
About the family: Transfer RNA (tRNA) molecules are approximately 80 nucleotides in length. Their secondary structure includes four short double-helical elements and three loops (D, anti-codon, and T loops). Further hydrogen bonds mediate the characteristic L-shaped molecular structure. tRNAs have two regions of fundamental functional importance: the anti-codon, which is responsible for specific mRNA codon recognition, and the 3' end, to which the tRNAs corresponding amino acid is attached (by aminoacyl-tRNA synthetases). tRNAs cope with the degeneracy of the genetic code in two manners: having more than one tRNA (with a specific anti-codon) for a particular amino acid; and 'wobble' base-pairing, i.e. permitting non-standard base-pairing at the 3rd anti-codon position.
Source: Rfam by way of RNAcentral
GCCUCGAUAGCUCAGUUAGGAGAGCGUCAGACUGAGAUCUGAAGGUCCCUGGUUCGAUCCCGGGUCGCGGCA